This 253-nucleotide ribosomal RNA is filed under the name uncultured bacterium. RNAcentral describes it as "partial 16S ribosomal RNA". It matches the Rfam family "Bacterial small subunit ribosomal RNA", at positions 524 to 776 of the family's 1533-position model. The record is from RNAcentral.
UACAGAGGCCCCGAGCGUUACUGAGAAUCACUGGGUUUAAAGGGUGCGUAGGUGGCGCGUUAAGUCCGUUGUGAAAUCCCUGGGCUCAACCCAGGAAUUGCUUCGGAUACUGGCGUGCUUGAGGCCGGUAGGGGUCACUGGAACUGACGGUGGAGCGGUGAAAUGCGUAGAGAUGUGGAGGAACACCGAUGGCGAAGGCAGCCUUCUGGGCCAACACUGACGCUCAUGCACGAAAGCGUGGGGAGCAAACAGG